This 497-nucleotide ribosomal RNA is filed under the name uncultured bacterium. RNAcentral's name for it is "partial 16S ribosomal RNA". It matches the Rfam family "Bacterial small subunit ribosomal RNA", at positions 28 to 507 of the family's 1533-position model. The record is from RNAcentral.
GACGAACGCUGGCGGCGUGCCUAAUACAUGCAAGUUGAGCGCUGAAGGUUGGUACUUGUACCAACUGGAUGAGCAGCGAACGGGUGAGUAACGCGUGGGGAAUCUGCCUUUGAGCGGGGGACAACAUUUGGAAACGAAUGCUAAUACCGCAUAAAAACUUUAAACACAAGUUUUAAGUUUGAAAGAUGCAAUUGCAUCACUCAAAGAUGAUCCCGCGUUGUAUUAGCUAGUUGGUGAGGUAAAGGCUCACCAAGGCGAUGAUACAUAGCCGACCUGAGAGGGUGAUCGGCCACAUUGGGACUGAGACACGCCCCAAACUCCUACGGGAGGCAGCAGUAGGGCAUCUUCGGCCAUGGACGAAAGUCUGACCGAGAAACGCCGAGUGAGUGAAGAAGGUUUUCGGAUCGUAAAACUCUGUUGGUAGAGAAGAACGUUGGUGAGAGUGGAAAGCUCAUCAAGUGACGGUAACUACCCAGAAAGGGACGGCUAACUACGUG